GACGAACGCUGGCGGCGUGCUUAACACAUGCAAGUCGAACGGAAAGGCCCUGCUUUUGUGGGGUGCUCGAGUGGCGAACGGGUGAGUAACACGUGAGUAACCUGCCCUUGACUUUGGGAUAACUUCAGGAAACUGGGGCUAAUACCGGAUAGGAGCUCCUGCUGCAUGGUGGGGGAUGGAAAGUUUCGGCGGUUGGGGAUGGACUCGCGGCUUAUCAGCUUGUUGGUGGGGUAGUGGCUUACCAAGGCUUUGACGGGUAGCCGGCCUGAGAGGGUGACCGGCCACAUUGGGACUGAGAUGCGGCCCAGACUCCUACGGGAGGCAGCAGUGGGGAAUAUUGCACAAUGGGCGGAAGCCUGAUGCAGCAACGCCGCGUGCGGGAUGACGGCCUUCGGGUUGUAAACCGCUUUCGCCUGUGACGAAGCGUGAGUGACGGUAAUGGGUAAAGAAGCACCGGCUAACUACGUG
Molecule: ribosomal RNA, 468 nt
Filed under: uncultured bacterium
Lineage: Bacteria
Description: partial 16S ribosomal RNA
Rfam family: Bacterial small subunit ribosomal RNA
Source: RNAcentral